Molecule: ribosomal RNA, 479 nt
Filed under: uncultured bacterium
Lineage: Bacteria
Description: SSU rRNA
Rfam family: Bacterial small subunit ribosomal RNA
Source: RNAcentral
AGGAUGAACGCUGGCGGCGUGCCUAACACAUGCAAGUCGAACGUCCUGUCUCGCAAGAGGCAGGGAGUGGCGGACGGGUGAGUACCACGUGGGUCAUCUACCGUGAGGUGAGGAAUACCGGCGAGAAAUCGCCGACAAGACCGCAUAGCCUCGGUGCAAGUUGAGCAAAGCUCUUUCGAGAGAGGGAGCGCCACACGAGGAGCCUGCGCCCGAUUAGCUAGCUGGUGGAGUAACGGUUCACCAGGGCGACGAUCGGUAGCUGGUCUGAGAGGACGAUCAGCCACACUGGGAUUGAGAACGGCCCAGACUCCUACGGGGGGCAGCAGUGAGGAAUUUUCGUCAAUGGGGGCAACCCUGAACGAGCAACGCCGCGUGCAGGAAGAAGGUUUUCGGAUCGUAAACUGCUUUUCGUCGGGGAAGAGAACGGACGGUACCCGAGGAAUCAGCCCCGGCUAACUACGUGCCAGCAGCCGCGGUAA